AAGCCCAAAAGCCCCUAAAUGGCCGGCCAUAUGUGAAUGAAUUAGGGUUUUGGUUGUUUAGGUCACUUAAAGAAGUGACUAUAUAAAUGAUUAUAUAGCCAAAUAUUCAUAAAGUGAUUAAGGGUUUAUUUUGGGGGAAAAUUGGUGAGAAUUGUCUCUCCAUUUUCUCUCUAAAGAGGCCAACACCUUGGAGGGUUGAUGCGUAAAAUAACUAAACACACAAAUUAAACCCUCUUGUUGACAAAUGUAGUAUGGAUAAGUAGGGAUCGUUCUUAAACCGGGGAUUAGGAGGGAUUGCUAAAACACUCUAAACUGACUCAAAUCUGUAAAACAAAGUUUAAAAAUACUAAACUAGACUCAAAGAAUGCAAAACUAAAAUCUAAAAUACUAAAACAAACCAAAAGACUCAAAACAGAAAACAAACACUCAAAAUUGCCUAAAAACCACUUUCUGGGCAGUUUUGGGACUCUAACACAACUUGGACGAAUUUUGGUUUCCUAAUGACC
RNAcentral lists this long non-coding RNA (506 nucleotides) under Malus domestica (apple). RNAcentral describes it as "long non-coding RNA (MDOM_LNC020834)". The record is from RNAcentral. Lineage: Eukaryota; Viridiplantae; Streptophyta; Magnoliopsida; Rosales; Rosaceae.